GAGGGCAUAGACCAGUGGUAGAGUGCAUGCCUAGGAUGCAUGAGGUCCUGGGUUCAAUUCUCAGCACCUCCA
Molecule: transfer RNA, 72 nt
Filed under: Camelus ferus (Wild Bactrian camel)
Lineage: Eukaryota; Metazoa; Chordata; Mammalia; Artiodactyla; Camelidae
Rfam family: tRNA
About the family: Transfer RNA (tRNA) molecules are approximately 80 nucleotides in length. Their secondary structure includes four short double-helical elements and three loops (D, anti-codon, and T loops).
Source: Rfam by way of RNAcentral